RNAcentral lists this ribosomal RNA (1345 nucleotides) under Lactiplantibacillus pentosus. Its description in RNAcentral is "bacterial SSU rRNA". It matches the Rfam family "Bacterial small subunit ribosomal RNA", at positions 79 to 1411 of the family's 1533-position model. The record is from RNAcentral. Lineage: Bacteria; Bacillati; Bacillota; Bacilli; Lactobacillales; Lactobacillaceae.
AUUUACAUUUGAGUGAGUGGCGAACUGGUGAGUAACACGUGGGAAACCUGCCCAGAAGCGGGGGAUAACACCUGGAAACAGAUGCUAAUACCGCAUAACAACUUGGACCGCAUGGUCCGAGUUUGAAAGAUGGCUUCGGCUAUCACUUUUGGAUGGUCCCGCGGCGUAUUAGCUAGAUGGUGGGGUAACGGCUCACCAUGGCAAUGAUACGUAGCCGACCUGAGAGGGUAAUCGGCCACAUUGGGACUGAGACACGGCCCAAACUCCUACGGGAGGCAGCAGUAGGGAAUCUUCCACAAUGGACGAAAGUCUGAUGGAGCAACGCCGCGUGAGUGAAGAAGGGUUUCGGCUCGUAAAACUCUGUUGUUAAAGAAGAACAUAUCUGAGAGUAACUGUUCAGGUAUUGACGGUAUUUAACCAGAAAGCCACGGCUAACUACGUGCCAGCAGCCGCGGUAAUACGUAGGUGGCAAGCGUUGUCCGGAUUUAUUGGGCGUAAAGCGAGCGCAGGCGGUUUUUUAAGUCUGAUGUGAAAGCCUUCGGCUCAACCGAAGAAGUGCAUCGGAAACUGGGAAACUUGAGUGCAGAAGAGGACAGUGGAACUCCAUGUGUAGCGGUGAAAUGCGUAGAUAUAUGGAAGAACACCAGUGGCGAAGGCGGCUGUCUGGUCUGUAACUGACGCUGAGGCUCGAAAGUAUGGGUAGCAAACAGGAUUAGAUACCCUGGUAGUCCAUACCGUAAACGAUGAAUGCUAAGUGUUGGAGGGUUUCCGCCCUUCAGUGCUGCAGCUAACGCAUUAAGCAUUCCGCCUGGGGAGUACGGCCGCAAGGCUGAAACUCAAAGGAAUUGACGGGGGCCCGCACAAGCGGUGGAGCAUGUGGUUUAAUUCGAAGCUACGCGAAGAACCUUACCAGGUCUUGACAUACUAUGCAAAUCUAAGAGAUUAGACGUUCCCUUCGGGGACAUGGAUACAGGUGGUGCAUGGUUGUCGUCAGCUCGUGUCGUGAGAUGUUGGGUUAAGUCCCGCAACGAGCGCAACCCUUAUUAUCAGUUGCCAGCAUUAAGUUGGGCACUCUGGUGAGACUGCCGGUGACAAACCGGAGGAAGGUGGGGAUGACGUCAAAUCAUCAUGCCCCUUAUGACCUGGGCUACACACGUGCUACAAUGGAUGGUACAACGAGUUGCGAACUCGCGAGAGUAAGCUAAUCUCUUAAAGCCAUUCUCAGUUCGGAUUGUAGGCUGCAACUCGCCUACAUGAAGUCGGAAUCGCUAGUAAUCGCGGAUCAGCAUGCCGCGGUGAAUACGUUCCCGGGCCUUGUACACACCGCCCGUCACACCAUGAGAGU